UGACUUACUUGGAUAACCGUGGUAAUUCUAGAGCUAAUACAUAGCUAAAAACCUCAACUUCGGAAGGGGUGUAUUUAUUAGAUAAAAAACCAAUGCCCUUCGGGGCUCCCUGGUGAUUCAUAAUAACUAAACGAAUCGCAUGGCCUUGCGCCGGCGAUGGUUCAUUCAAAUUUCUGCCCUAUCAACUUUCGAUGGUAGGAUAGUGGCCUACCAUGGUGGCAACGGGUAACGGGGAAUUAGGGUUCUAUUCCGGAGAGGGAGCCUGAGAAACGGCUACCACAUCCAAGGAAGGCAGCAGGCGCGCAAAUUACCCAAUCCCGACACGGGGAGGUAGUGACAAUAAAUACUGAUGUGGAGCUCUUUAGGGUUUCACAAUUGGAAUGAGAAAAAUCUAAACCACUUAAACGAGGAACAAUUGGAGGGCAAGUCUGGUGCCAGCAGCCGCGGUAAUUCCAGCUCCAAUAGCGUAUAUUAAAGUUGUUGCAGUUAAAAAGCUCGUAGUUGAACCUUGGGCCUGGCCGGCCGGUCCGCCUCACCGCGUGCACUGGUUCGGCCGGGCCUUUCCUCCUGGGGAACCGCAUGCCCUUUACUGGGUGUGCCGGGGAAUCAGGACUUUUACUUUGAAAAAAUUAGAGUGUUCAAAGCAGGCAUUUGCUCGAAUACAUUANCAUGGAAUAAUAGAAUAGGACGUUGUGGUUCUAUUUUGUUGGUUUCUAGGACCGCCGUAAUGAUUAAUAGGGACG
RNAcentral lists this ribosomal RNA (743 nucleotides) under Placopsis aff. gelida Fryday. Its description in RNAcentral is "SSU rRNA". It matches the Rfam family "Eukaryotic small subunit ribosomal RNA", at positions 131 to 880 of the family's 1831-position model. Lineage: Eukaryota; Fungi; Ascomycota; Lecanoromycetes; Trapeliales; Trapeliaceae. The record is from RNAcentral.